RNAcentral lists this ribosomal RNA (580 nucleotides) under uncultured bacterium. RNAcentral describes it as "bacterial SSU rRNA". It matches the Rfam family "Bacterial small subunit ribosomal RNA", at positions 94 to 676 of the family's 1533-position model. The record is from RNAcentral.
ACCGGCGAACGGGUGAGUAACACGUGGAAAUCUACCCAUUAGUGGGGAAUAGCUCGGAGAAAUUCGAAUUAAUGCCGCAUACUCCUUACGAGGGAAAGUGGGCUUUUGCUCACGCUAAUAGAUGAGUCCGCGGAAGAUUAGCUUGUUGGUGAGGUAAAGGCUCACCAAGGCGAUGAUCUUUAGCUGGUCUGAGAGGACGAUCAGCCACACUGGAACUGAGACACGGACCAGACUCCUACGGGAGGCAGCAGUAAGGAAUAUUGGACAAUGGGCGCAAGCCUGAUCCAGCCAUGCCAUGUGUGUGAAGAAGGCUUUAGGGUUGUAAAGCACUUUCAGUAGGGAAGAAACAUUAUAGGUUAAUACCCUAUAGUUUUGACGUUACCUACAAAAGAAGCACCGACAAACUCCGUGCCAGCAGUCGCGGUAAUACGGAGGGUGCAAGCGUUAAUCGGAAUUACUGGGCUUAAAGAGUAUGUAGGUGGUGUAUUAAGUUGGAUGUGAAAGCCCUAGGCUUAACCUACGAACUGCAUUCUGAACUAUUACACUAGAGGAUAAUAGAGGGUGAUGGAAUUUCCUGUGU